Molecule: long non-coding RNA, 442 nt
Organism: Mustela erminea (ermine)
Lineage: Eukaryota; Metazoa; Chordata; Mammalia; Carnivora; Mustelidae
Exons: 3
Source: RefSeq, a predicted model, not a curated record
UUGGGGACUUUGUGUCUUACUCUGAAUGAGAUGGGAAACCACUGGAGGAUCUGAGCAAAGACGGACACAAUGGACCAAUAUGACUGCUAUGCUGAGCAACCACUGUAUGGGGAGAGCCAAAAGCAGGGGGACCAGCUAGGAGGCUAUCUGAGUCAUUCAGGAGGAAGACAGGAAGAAUGUGGUAUCCUAGAAGCCAAGUCAAGAAAGGAUUCUAGGGGAGAGAGGAGUAAGUUGUGUUAAAUAUUGCUGAUAGCCACUAAAGUUGAAGACUGGUCAUUGGCCAUCGACAAUAGCAAUGAAGAAGCCAUUGGUGAACUUGAGGACAACAGCUUUGGCAGGUCUGUGGGGCAAAAUCUGGAAAGCAAAUGGGAGAAAAGGAAUUACAGACACAGUCAGUGUAGGUGCGCAGCUGGAGUGGGAACAUCUCUACCAUGACCCUCAC